GCUUGUCUCAAAGAUUAAGCCAUGCAUGUCUAAGUAUAAACACCUUUAUACUGUGAAACUGCGUACAGCUCAUUAAAUCAGUAAUAAUUUAUUUGAUGGUGACUUACUACAUGGAUAACCGUAGUAACCUAGAGCUAAUACAUGCACAAAAUCCCGACUUACGGAGGGUUGUAUUUAUUAGAUAAAAACCAAUGCCUCGUGCUUUUGGUGAGUCAUGAUAACUGCGCGGAUCGCAUGGCCUUGCGCCGGCGACGCUUCAUUCAAAUUUCUGCCCUAUCAACUUUCGAUGGUAAGAUAGAGGCUUACCAUGGUGUUAACGGGUAACGGGGAAUUGGGGUUCGAUUCCGGAGAGGGAGCCUGAGAAAUGGCUACCACUUCCAAGGAAGGCAGCAGG
RNAcentral lists this ribosomal RNA (394 nucleotides) under uncultured Rozellomycota. RNAcentral's name for it is "uncultured Cryptomycota partial small subunit ribosomal RNA". It matches the Rfam family "Eukaryotic small subunit ribosomal RNA", at positions 30 to 432 of the family's 1831-position model. Lineage: Eukaryota; Fungi; Rozellomycota. The record is from RNAcentral.